AUGAACGCUGGCGGCGUGCCUAAUACAUGCAAGUCGAGCGAACAGAUGAGGAGCUUGCUCCUCUGACGCUAGCGGCGGACGGGUGAGUAACACGUGGAUAACCUACCUAUAAGACUGGGAUAACUUCGGGAAACCGGAGCUAAUACCGGAUAAUAUAUUGAACCGCAUGGUUCAAUAGUGAAAGACGGUUUUGCUGUCACUUAUAGAUGGAUCCGCGCCGCAUUAGCUAGUUGGUAAGGUAACGGCUUACCAAGGCAACGAUGCGUAGCCGACCUGAGAGGGUGAUCGGCCACACUGGAACUGAGACACGGUCCAGACUCCUACGGGAGGCAGCAGUAGGGAAUCUUCCGCAAUGGGCGAAAGCCUGACGGAGCAACGCCGCGUGAGUGAUGAAGGUCUUCGGAUCGUAAAACUCUGUUAUUAGGGAAGAACAAAUGUGUAAGUAACUAUGCACGUCUUGACGGUACCUAAUCAGAAAGCCACGGCUAACUACGUG
RNAcentral lists this ribosomal RNA (496 nucleotides) under uncultured bacterium. Its description in RNAcentral is "partial 16S ribosomal RNA". It matches the Rfam family "Bacterial small subunit ribosomal RNA", at positions 29 to 507 of the family's 1533-position model. The record is from RNAcentral.